This 555-nucleotide long non-coding RNA is filed under the name Triticum aestivum (bread wheat). RNAcentral describes it as "long non-coding RNA (TAES_LNC010486)". The record is from RNAcentral. Lineage: Eukaryota; Viridiplantae; Streptophyta; Magnoliopsida; Poales; Poaceae.
CAAACCAUCUGGACGUGCAGAGGCAGGCUAAUCUAUGACAUUCUGCCAUUUUAUACAAUCAUGUUUGCUUCAUGCAUGAUCAAUCUACAUCAUUUCUCCCAUAUGAAGUCCCUUUGAAUCAAAGAGGCUCUAUAAAUCUGUGUUUUCUCAAACUUAACUACUACUUAACUUGUAAUCUGAAAUUAGAGAUUGUGGCACACGAUGCUGAAGUUUGACCUUGGCCAUCGGGAAGAAGUUGUGCGGUGUGACAUUAUGAGAAUUGGCAAGCAGACUCCUCUCCAGCUGGUACGUUCCCUGUGACAUUAUGAGAAUGAUACUAUAGUAUCUUCGGCUUUAUAAUUUGACUCAUGUUGAGUUUUCAAAUGGGUGUCUUCUUGUUUGCGCAGAGCUUGUCACGAGAUUGUGCUUGCUGGCAUCAAGCUAUGGACUUGCUAGAAAAAGAUAUAAUGGUGUGUUUGGUGCUUAUACGAGGCCCCAGAAGAUGAUUAUAUGUACUACUUUAUUUUAUUCUUUGUGUUUUUCUGUAUAUUGCCAAACAGAUUUAGAGCAUAGCCA